RNAcentral lists this transfer RNA (71 nucleotides) under Trichodes sinae. RNAcentral describes it as "tRNA-Lys". Lineage: Eukaryota; Metazoa; Arthropoda; Insecta; Coleoptera; Cleridae. The record is from RNAcentral.
CAUUAGAUAACUUAAAGCAAGUACUGGUCUCUUAAACCAUAAAAUAGUAAAUUAGCGAUUACUUCUAAUGG